RNAcentral lists this ribosomal RNA (490 nucleotides) under uncultured bacterium. RNAcentral describes it as "bacterial SSU rRNA". It matches the Rfam family "Bacterial small subunit ribosomal RNA", at positions 40 to 518 of the family's 1533-position model. The record is from RNAcentral.
CGACAGGCGUUAACACAUGCAAGUCGAGGGGCAGCAUAAAAGUAGCAAUACUUGGUGGCGACCGGCGCACGGGUGAGUAACGACGUAUGACAACCUACCUAUCGAGAGGGGAAUAACCCGGCGAAAGUCGGACUAAUACCGCAUAAAACAGGGGCACCGCAUGGUGAUAUUUGUUAAAGAAAUUCGCUGAUAGAUGGGCAUGCGUUCCAUUAGGUAGUUGGUGAGGUAACGGCUCACCAAGCCGACGAUGGAUAGGGGAACUGAGAGGUUGGUCCCCCACACUGGUACUGAGACACGGACCAGACUCCUACGGGAGGCAGCAGUGAGGAAUAUUGGUCAAUGGGCGGGAGCCUGAACCAGCCAAGUCGCGUGAAGGAAAGAAGGAUCUAUGGUUCGUAAACUUCUUUUGCAGGGGAAUAAAGUGCAGGACGUGUCCUGUUUUGUAUGUACCCUGAGAAUAAGGAUCGGCUAACUCCGUGCCAGCAGCUGC